Lates calcarifer (barramundi perch) is the source of this 1538-nucleotide long non-coding RNA. RefSeq lists it as uncharacterized. The record is from RefSeq and is a predicted model, not a curated record. The transcript is spliced from 6 exons. NCBI's taxonomy places the organism in Eukaryota, Metazoa, Chordata, Actinopteri, Centropomidae.
CAACGGAAAAGCCCCAUGGGGAACCAACUGACUGGCGCUAGGACUCUAGGGACGUCAAUUAUAGUCGGACCAAUCAGUGCAACAGGUGAGGACAACGCGGAAGUGUUUCGGCUGUCUGAGAGACGAGCGCCUAAUGGGAGUGUGGACGACAUACUACGAAAUGGUUGAAGAUAGAAACCUUGUUCCUUGACAGUUUGGAUGUUUGACGUCCUUUCCGAACUAUCUGCGUUCCCUAGAAGAGGCUGAAAUGAUCCGUGUAGGAGACUGUGGCCAGCGCCGGCUACUGAGAGCCAGGUGUGUAGAGACGGUAGCCUGCUGAAGCGCCCCACACCGCGGCCACAGGAGGGAAUUUGACCGAAAUGUUCCUCACGGAGCAGAACAAGUGUGCAAAGCCACUUUCCAGUUCUUCGGGCUGCACCUUACGGAUGUCAUUUGUACCCAGGUGUAAGAUGGCCUUGUUAAUGUCCGGUCCGUUUCCGAAGAUCUCAUUGGUUUUAUCGGUUAUAUGGCGGACAGUGGUAUGACGAGUCAAUGCUGAACUUGUUUAAGUAUUCCUGAUGAUGGAGUCACCUAUGACCAGGGUUGUUUGUGGACUUUUUGGAGCUGGUCAUGUAAGAUCAGAUCAGGUGGGUCCGAGUCUCCGGCUCCGGGCAGGCAGGGGGACAGGUGAUGCUCCUCCUUCCCCUCAGCUGGAUGGACGCCGGUGAACGAAAAUCCAUGGUAUGGGACAGAUCUGGGGCUUGGAUUUGGCUCCAGUCCUGGGCCAGAGGGAUCCGGUCAGUUAAGGGACUCUGGUAGAACCUGGAGAUCCGACCUUCGUUCGGCGAUUUUUGUCCAGAGCAGUCCGGAGGAGAGAUUCCAAGGAAACAACUUUGUCUGCCUGUCCACCGCAUGAUGACAUAACCGAUUCAGCAGUGGAACUUUGAGCCUGUCUCUCUGAUGAUGCAGUCAUCCUGGAUGAGGAUUGCAGCCCUUCCAUAAUAUUAAAGAAGGUGGAUGAAGAUUCCAAACAUGUUUACUGGUUCAGCUGCUGCAGCCUGGACACCAGCUGUCACCUGACAACAGGUGUCACCAUUUCAUCCACAAUCACAGAGAGUCUUCGUCCACUGAGGAAGUUCUUUGAAACCAGGACUGAGGCCUCCAGGAAUCAUACUUCAACCAUUAAAUCACAGGGAGAAGAGACACAGAUGUGAAGACAUUUCCAGGUCUUCAGCUGCUGUCAUCUUCUCCUCCUGCAGAGACAAGUAAAGCAUCUUAAAGUAGCCAUCUUACCUUUGUUUUCCACAGACACACACUUGCACCUCUACACAGUGUUUGUAGGUUAGGUUGGAUUUUCAUUUUGGUUAUAUUGCUAUUUCAAACAGUGCAAUAUCAAUACUCUAAUCCAAUCUAUUACUGUGUACAUAGUCCUGUUUCACAUUUUUUAAAUCUUGUCUUGUUUAUAUCAGGCCUUUUUAUUCUUGCCAUUGCAACGCUGAAUUUCCCUGCUGUGAGACUGAAGGAUUACCUUACUCAAAUAAAUACUUCUGGACACUGAA